GAUCAUGGCUCAGGAUGAACGCUAGCUACAGGCUUAACACAUGCAAGUCGAGGGGCAGCAUGAUUGAAGCUUGCUUCAAUCGAUGGCGACCGGCGCACGGGUGAGUAACACGUAUCCAACCUGCCGAUAACUCGGGGAUAGCCUUUCGAAGAAAGAUUAAUACCCGACUAGCAUAGUAUUUCCGUCAUGGUUUCGUACUAUUAAAGUAAACUUACGGUUUAGUUCGAUGGGGAGGUGCGUUCCUACUUAAG
Molecule: ribosomal RNA, 251 nt
Filed under: uncultured bacterium
Lineage: Bacteria
Description: partial 16S ribosomal RNA
Rfam family: Bacterial small subunit ribosomal RNA
Source: RNAcentral